RNAcentral lists this ribosomal RNA (1056 nucleotides) under Enterococcus faecium. RNAcentral's name for it is "bacterial SSU rRNA". It matches the Rfam family "Bacterial small subunit ribosomal RNA", at positions 1 to 1026 of the family's 1533-position model. The record is from RNAcentral. Lineage: Bacteria; Bacillati; Bacillota; Bacilli; Lactobacillales; Enterococcaceae.
UUUUUAUGAGAGUUUGAUCCUGGCUCAGGACGAACGCUGGCGGCGUGCCUAAUACAUGCAAGUCGAACGCUUCUUUUUCCACCGGAGCUUGCUCCACCGGAAAAAGAGGAGUGGCGAACGGGUGAGUAACACGUGGGUAACCUGCCCAUCAGAAGGGGAUAACACUUGGAAACAGGUGCUAAUACCGUAUAACAAUCAAAACCGCAUGGUUUUGAUUUGAAAGGCGCUUUCGGGUGUCGCUGAUGGAUGGACCCGCGGUGCAUUAGCUAGUUGGUGAGGUAACGGCUCACCAAGGCCACGAUGCAUAGCCGACCUGAGAGGGUGAUCGGCCACAUUGGGACUGAGACACGGCCCAAACUCCUACGGGAGGCAGCAGUAGGGAAUCUUCGGCAAUGGACGAAAGUCUGACCGAGCAACGCCGCGUGAGUGAAGAAGGUUUUCGGAUCGUAAAACUCUGUUGUUAGAGAAGAACAAGGAUGAGAGUAACUGUUCAUCCCUUGACGGUAUCUAACCAGAAAGCCACGGCUAACUACGUGCCAGCAGCCGCGGUAAUACGUAGGUGGCAAGCGUUGUCCGGAUUUAUUGGGCGUAAAGCGAGCGCAGGCGGUUUCUUAAGUCUGAUGUGAAAGCCCCCGGCUCAACCGGGGAGGGUCAUUGGAAACUGGGAGACUUGAGUGCAGAAGAGGAGAGUGGAAUUCCAUGUGUAGCGGUGAAAUGCGUAGAUAUAUGGAGGAACACCAGUGGCGAAGGCGGCUCUCUGGUCUGUAACUGACGCUGAGGCUCGAAAGCGUGGGGAGCAAACAGGAUUAGAUACCCUGGUAGUCCACGCCGUAAACGAUGAGUGCUAAGUGUUGGAGGGUUUCCGCCCUUCAGUGCUGCAGCUAACGCAUUAAGCACUCCGCCUGGGGAGUACGACCGCAAGGUUGAAACUCAAAGGAAUUGACGGGGGCCCGCACAAGCGGUGGAGCAUGUGGUUUAAUUCGAAGCAACGCGAAGAACCUUACCAGGUCUUGACAUCCUUUGACCACUCUAGAGAUAGAGCUUCCCCUUCGGGGG